CAGUAGGGAAUAUUGGACAAUGGGCGAAAGCCUGAUCCAGCAAUGCCGCGUGAGCGAUGAAGGCCUUAGGGUUGUAAAGCUCUUUUACCCGGGAUGAUAAUGACAGUACCGGGAGAAUAAGCCCCGGCUAACUCCGUGCCAGCAGCCGCGGUAAUACGGAGGGGGCUAGCGUUGUUCGGAAUUACUGGGCGUAAAGCGCACGUAGGCGGCGAUCUAAGUCAGAGGUGAAAGCCCGGGGCUCAACCCCGGAACUGCCUUUGAGACUGGAUUGCUAGAAUCAUGGAGAGGUGAGUGGAAUUCCGAGUGUAGAGGUGAAAUUCGUAGAUAUUCGGAAGAACACCAGUGGCGAAGGCGGCUCACUGGACAUGUAUUGACGCUGAGGUGCGAAAGCGUGGGGAGCAAACAGGAUUAGA
RNAcentral lists this ribosomal RNA (413 nucleotides) under uncultured bacterium. RNAcentral describes it as "bacterial SSU rRNA". It matches the Rfam family "Bacterial small subunit ribosomal RNA", at positions 352 to 782 of the family's 1533-position model. The record is from RNAcentral.